This 274-nucleotide ribosomal RNA is filed under the name uncultured bacterium. RNAcentral's name for it is "partial 16S ribosomal RNA". It matches the Rfam family "Bacterial small subunit ribosomal RNA", at positions 523 to 796 of the family's 1533-position model. The record is from RNAcentral.
AUACGGAGGGUGCAAGCGUUAUUCGGAAUCACUGGGCGUAAAGGACGCGUAGGCGGGUUGGCAAGUCAGAUGUGAAAUCCUACAGCUUAACUGUAGAACUGCAUUUGAAACUGGCAACCUAGAGUAUGGGAGGGGGAGAUGGAAUUAGUGGUGUAGGGGUAAAAUCCGUAGAUAUCACUAGGAAUACCGAAAGCGAAGGCGAUCUCCUGGAACAUAACUGACGCUAAGGCGUGAAAGCGUGGGGAGCAAACGGGAUUAGAUACCCCAGUAGUCC